RNAcentral lists this ribosomal RNA (305 nucleotides) under uncultured bacterium. Its description in RNAcentral is "partial 16S ribosomal RNA". It matches the Rfam family "Bacterial small subunit ribosomal RNA", at positions 508 to 807 of the family's 1533-position model. The record is from RNAcentral.
ACAGCAGUCGCCGCGGUAAUACGAAGGGGGCUAGCGUUGCUCGGAAUUACUGGGCGUAAAGGGCGCGUAGGCGGACAUUUAAGUCAGAGGUGAAAGCCCAGGGCUCAACCUUGGAACUGCCUUUGAUACUGUCGAUCUCGAGUCCGGAAGAGGUGAGUGGAACUCCUAGUGUAGAGGUGGAAUUCGUAGAUAUUAGGAAGAACACCAGUGGCGAAGGCGGCUCACUGGUCCGGUACUGACGCUGAGGUGCGAAAGCGUGGAGAGCAAACAGGAUUAGAUACCCGAGUAGUCCCUGUCUCUUAUAC